CUGGCGGCGUGCUUAACACAUGCAAGUCGAACGCGAACGAGUUCUUCGGAACUUUAGUAGAGUGGCGCACGGGUGAGUAACGCGUAAGUAAUCUGCCCUCGCAUCUGGGAUAACAAUUCGAAAGGAUUGCUAAUACCGGAUACGUUGAUUUAUCAAGAAAGGUGGCCAAGAAAGGUGGCCUCUGAUUUAAGCUACUGUGCGGGGAGGAGCUUGCGUACCAUUAGCUAGUUGGUGGGGUAAUGGCCUACCAAGGCGACGAUGGUUAGCGGGUCUGAGAGGAUGAUCCGCCACACUGGAACUGAAACACGGACCAGACUCCUACGGGAGGCAGCAGUGAGGAAUAUUGCGCAAUGGGGGCAACCCUGACGCAGCGACGCCGCGUGGAUGAUGAAGGCUUUCGGGUCGUAAAAUCCUGUCAGGUGGGAAGAAAUGAUAUAGAGUUAAUAACUUUAUGUUUUGACGGUACCACCAAAGGAAGCACCGGCUAACUCCGUGCCAGCAGCCGCGGUAAUACGGAGGGUGCAAGCGUUGUUCGGAAUUACUGGGCGUAAAGCGCGCGUAGGCGGCUUUUUAAGUCAGAUGUGAAAGUCCACGGCUCAACCGUGGAAGUGCAUUUGAAACUGGGGAGCUUGAGUAUUGGAGGGGAUAGUGGAAUUCCCGGUGUAGAGGUGAAAUGCGUAGAGAUUGGAAGGAACAUCAGUGGCGAAGGCGGCCACCUGGACAGAUACUGACGCUGAGGAACGAAAGCGUGGGGAGCAAACAGGAUUAGAUACCCUGGUAGUCCACGCCGUAAACGAUGUCAACUAGCCGUUUGUGUCCUUGAGACGUGAGUGGCGCAGCUAACGCACUAAGUUGACCGCCUGGGGAGUACGGCCGCAAGGCUAAAACUCAAAGGAAUUGACGGGGGCCCGCACAAGCAGUGGAGCAUGUGGUUUAAUUCGAAGCAACGCGCAGAACCUUACCAGGGCUAGACAAACUAAGAAUCCCGGAGAAACUCGGGAGUGUGCCUUCGGGAACUGUGUGCCAGGUGCUGCAUGGCUGUCGUCAGCUCGUGUCGUGAGAUGUUGGGUUAAGUCCCGCAACGAGCGCAACCCUUAUCCUUAGUUGCCAUCAUUUAGUUGGGCACUCAAAGGAGACUGCCGGGGUCAACCCGGAGGAAGGUGGGGAUGACGUCAAGUCCUCAUGGCCCUUAUGUCCUGGGCUACACACGUGCUACAAUGGUUGAUACAAAGCGCUGCGAAGCCGCGAGGUGGAGCGAAUCGCAAAAAGUCAGCCUCAGUACGGAUUGCACUCUGCAACUCGAGUGCAUGAAGGUGGAAUCGCUAGUAAUCGCGGAUCAGCACGCCGCGGUGAAUACGUUCCCGGGACUUGUACACACCGCCCGUCACACCAUGGGAGUCGAGUGCUCCAGAAGUGGCCGCGCUAACCCGCAAGGGAGGCAGGUCCCCAAGGAGUG
Molecule: ribosomal RNA, 1456 nt
Filed under: uncultured prokaryote
Description: partial 16S ribosomal RNA
Rfam family: Bacterial small subunit ribosomal RNA
Source: RNAcentral